This 253-nucleotide ribosomal RNA is filed under the name uncultured prokaryote. Its description in RNAcentral is "partial 16S ribosomal RNA". It matches the Rfam family "Bacterial small subunit ribosomal RNA", at positions 524 to 776 of the family's 1533-position model. The record is from RNAcentral.
UACAGAGGUCCCAAGCGUUGUUCGGAUUCACUGGGCGUAAAGGGUGCGUAGGUGGUCGGGUAAGUCUGAUGUGAAAUCUCCGAGCUCAACUCGGAAAUGGCAUUGGAUACUAUUUGGCUAGAGGGUUGGAGGGGGGACUGGAAUACUUGGUGUAGCAGUGAAAUGCGUAGAUAUCAAGUGGAACACCAGUGGCGGAGGCGAGUCCCUGGACAAGACCUGACACUGAGGCACGAAAGCCAGGGGAGCAAACAGG